Molecule: long non-coding RNA, 589 nt
Filed under: Homo sapiens (human)
Lineage: Eukaryota; Metazoa; Chordata; Mammalia; Primates; Hominidae
Description: HSALNT0096199
Source: RNAcentral
CCCAGUCCCGGCCCGGCGCUGCGCCGGGGCAGCUCGCAGCCUCCCCCUCGUCCCGCAGCGGGGAGGGGUCUCCCUGGAGACUGAAGGUUGGGGCGCGCUGCCUCGCCCCCUAGCCCAGAGGGGCGUACCCGUGCGCCGAGAGCCCCCAAGCCCGUCUCCCCUUACCUCCUCGGCCCAGCGCCUACCUCCCCGAAUCGCGGCCGCUGGGAGCGGGGUUCGAUCCCGUGAUGCCGCGUGGGUGCCGGCCAGAGAAGAGCUCCGGAGGCCGGGGCGGCCGGCGGGCGUGCGAAUGUCAUCUUUCCCAACAAGUUGUUCCCAGCAGAAUCCUCUCUCCUGGCACAAAACAAGCAGAUGAAGAGGUAAAUGACCUUGUGCAAAUCUCUUCUCCCGCUGAGCCUGCCCCCCAACCCCUGUUAUUCUAGCUAUCCCAAGGACUCUGCAAAUUAGGCAGGAUGACAGUGGUUGUUCCCGUUAAACAGAUGGGAACAAUGAGGCUCAGAGAGAUGAGAUGAUUUGGCAGGUUAAUGAGAGCCUAGGCUGGCACUCGGAUCGGCCUGCUCCCAGUGGAGGGCUUUCUGCCACCCAUGAG